RNAcentral lists this ribosomal RNA (277 nucleotides) under uncultured prokaryote. Its description in RNAcentral is "partial 16S ribosomal RNA". It matches the Rfam family "Bacterial small subunit ribosomal RNA", at positions 524 to 801 of the family's 1533-position model. The record is from RNAcentral.
UACGUAGGGGCGAGCGUUGUCCGGAAUUAUUGGGCGUAAAGGGUACGCAGGCGGUUCUUUAAGUCUGAUGUGAAAGCCCACGGCUUAACCGUGGAGGGUCAUUGGAAACUGGUCGACUUGAGUGCAGAAGAGGGAAGUGGAAUUCCAUGUGUAGCGGUGAAAUGCGUAGAGAUAUGGAGGAACACCAGUGGCGAAGGCGGCUUCCUGGUCUGUAACUGACACUGAGGCGCGAAAGCGUGGGGAGCAAACAGGAUUAGAUACCCGGGUAGUCCCUGAG